This 339-nucleotide ribosomal RNA is filed under the name Triticum aestivum (bread wheat). RNAcentral's name for it is "partial small subunit ribosomal RNA". The record is from RNAcentral. Lineage: Eukaryota; Viridiplantae; Streptophyta; Magnoliopsida; Poales; Poaceae.
AUGUUCAAGAUUGGAAUGGUGAUGGUGCUCCCUUUGCUAGGGACAAGGGAGAUGCUCAUUCUGAUUCUGGAAGAUGAUCCCAGAGUCCAUGUAACAAAACUCAAGGAGGUCACCGCACUUCCCGCGGUGUUGCCCCCGUCUACUGAACUUGGCUUGCUCCACUGCAGCGGAGUAGGGUUGUCCCACGCCGGCAAUGGCUUUUGGUUGCUAGGUGGGGAGGACUCCGACAACGAGGAAGUGUGGUCGUUCAGAUAUCAAGGUACUUUUUGUUGCUACUCUAGAUAUCUGCAUUCUCCUUUGCAAAGUUGUGAAGAGAGAAUUGCACAUAGAAGAAGUUGA